This 489-nucleotide ribosomal RNA is filed under the name uncultured bacterium. Its description in RNAcentral is "partial 16S ribosomal RNA". It matches the Rfam family "Bacterial small subunit ribosomal RNA", at positions 28 to 523 of the family's 1533-position model. The record is from RNAcentral.
GACGAACGCUGGCGGCGUGCUUAACACAUGCAAGUCGAGCGGAAAGGCCCUUUCGGGGGUACUCGAGCGGCGAACGGGUGAGUAACACGUGAGUAAUCUGCCCUUGGCUUUGGGAUAACCACCGGAAACGGUGGCUAAUACCGGAUAUGACGCGCCCCGGCAUCGGGGUGUGUGGAAAGUUUUUUCGGCCAGGGAUGGGCUCGCGGCCUAUCAGCUUGUUGGUGGGGGAAUUGCCUACCAAGGCUUCGAAGGGUAGCCGGCCUGGGAGGGUGACCGGCCACACUGGGACUGAGACACGGCCCAGACUCCUACGGGAGGCAGCAGUGGGGAAUAGUGGACAAUGGGCGGAAGCCUGAUCCAGCAACGCCGCGUGAGGGAUGACGGCCUUCGGGUUGUAAACCUCUUUCAGUACCGACGAAGCGCCGAUGAUGGUGGUGACGGUAGGUACAGAAGAAGCACCGGCCAACUACGUGCCAGCCGCCGCCGUAA